GACGAACGCUGGCGGCGUGCCUAAUACAUGCAAGUUGAACGAUGAUUUCUGGUACUUGUAUCAGGAUGAAGAGUAGCGAACGGGUGAGAAACGCGUGGGUAACCUACCUCUUAGCGGGGGACAACUAUUGGAAACGAUAGCUAAUACCGCAUAACAAUAUUAAACACAUGUUUAAUAUUUGAAAGUACCAAUUGGUACACUAGGAGAUGGACCCGCGUUGUAUUAGCUAGUUGGUAGUGUAAUGGACUACCAAGGCGAUGAUACAUAGCCGACCUGAGAGGGUGAUCGGCCACAUUGGGACUGAGACACGGCCCAAACUCCUACGGGAGGCAGCAGUAGGGAAUCUUCGGCAAUGGACGAAAGUCUGACCGAGCAACGCCGCGUGAGUGAAGAAGGUUUUCGGAUCGUAAAACUCUGUUGUUAGAGAAGAACGUUGGUGAGAGUGGAAAGCUCAUCAAGUGACGGUAACUACCCAGAAAGGGACGGCUAACUACGUGCCAGCAGCCGCGGUAAUACGUAGGUCCCGAGCGUUGUCCGGAUUUAUUGGGCGUAAAGCGAGCGCAGGUGGUUUAUUAAGUCUGGUGUAAAAGGCAGUGGCUCAACCAUUGUAUGCAUUGGAAACUGGUAGACUUGAGUGCAGGAGAGGAGAGUGGAAUUCCAUGUGUAGCGGUGAAAUGCGUAGAUAUAUGGAGGAACACCGGUGGCGAAAGCGGCUCUCUGGACUGUAACUGACACUGAGGCUCGAAAGCGUGGGUAGCAAACA
RNAcentral lists this ribosomal RNA (763 nucleotides) under uncultured Lactococcus sp. RNAcentral describes it as "bacterial SSU rRNA". It matches the Rfam family "Bacterial small subunit ribosomal RNA", at positions 28 to 774 of the family's 1533-position model. Lineage: Bacteria; Bacillati; Bacillota; Bacilli; Lactobacillales; Streptococcaceae. The record is from RNAcentral.